Passer domesticus (house sparrow) is the source of this 2267-nucleotide long non-coding RNA. RefSeq lists it as uncharacterized. NCBI's taxonomy places the organism in Eukaryota, Metazoa, Chordata, Aves, Passeriformes, Passeridae. The record is from RefSeq and is a predicted model, not a curated record. The transcript has 3 exons.
GUUGUGUAGAAGAUGAGGUCUGUGGGUAGUUUGUGGAGAGAAGUAGGAAUGUUUUAUUGUAGGUGGGAAAAGGGCUGGUGCUUGUGUUCAUCUUUCGUGUCAGUCAUUUAAGCCCCCUGACAAUCAGGGGGAAGGUAGGAGAGUUUUUAGAGUAAUAGGAUGCUCGUGUCAAUUGUGUAUCUACCAUUGUUUGGAGCCUUGUGUGAUGAGCAAGCACUGGCAAUACAGGGGGUUUCAGAAGAUUUACAAGGACAGCAGAUUCUUGAUUCAGCAUAUGGCAAUGUCAGCUAAAAGACACUCUUGCUUUUUUACAUGCUCACACAACUUGAGACUGCAUCACUCAUGGAUAUAAGCUUUUCUUGCUCUGAAAUAUGGUCCUUGAUGAUGAUAAGGCAGCAUUUUGGUGGGACAACAAAAAGAACUUUCACUGAUGAUUCCUAAUUCUAUCUGUUCCACUGUGGGUGUUAUGUUGAAGAUAUGCCUGACUGGAAGGACCUUCACUGUUUUGGCCCUGCAAGUCUUUUAACCAACUGAUGUGAUUUCCUCUAGAUAUUUUUAAGGACAGUACUGACACCAAUAUGUGGGACAUCUGCUAUCCAUAUGUUCACAUGGCCACCAGACCUGCAGUAAGGCUCCAAAGAAUGCUGGCCUAGUGGUUAAUUAAUUAACGAAAUAAGGGUCCCUCGCACUGCUCUUUCAUAUCCUUCCAGUGUACAUGCUAACCGAUUAAACUUCGUGCCCCAUCAGGGUACAAUAUCCUUGAACAGGCCACAUCUCAGCUGUCUGCACUCUUGUAUCUCCUGCAGAUUGUAUUUGAUCACAGGUCUUAGGGCAUGUAGAGGAUUUUCCUACAUGGCUUCUUGCCAGACCCAUCUUUGAUACCAUCAAUUCAGAUUAUUUUCCAGUCAGUAUUCUAGUUUCAAUUUUGCUAUUUUGUCAAAUAACAUUUUUUGUAGUAAUACUACCCACACUAGAAAAUUAUUUUUCUGUUUCAAAGAUGAUUUAAAUUACAGAAGACUCCUGUAAUGACAUCUGUAUUUUUUGUCCCUUGAUUCUUACUCAGAGGCUUUCAACUGUGACAUUGCCAAUUGUAAACCUCAUAUAUUUGAACCCUUCUAUUGCACAUAAUGGCAACCCCCAGCCUCUUCUGCCCUACCUGUCCCUCCUGAAGAGCCUGUAACAUCCAUCAGGGCACUCCAGGAUUCAUCCCACCAGUUUUCACUUUUGUCAAUGAUCUUGAAUCUCUGGGACUUUGCCAAAGCCAGGGGCUGUCUUUGUUCCUUAUGUGCCUCAGUAUAGAAAGAUUCUGGGUGGGGUACAUUGUAGCUAACACCUCCUAAGCAUAUUGAGGAAUUCCAUUAGUGUGUGUUUUUAGCACACCGUCCCAUCUGUCAUCACUGGCCAGCCUGGCUUUGGCUCUUUCUCGUUUCCAAGCUAGUUUAAAGCUCAGGUGUCAGUAGAGAAACUGUUUGAGUACAUUAUCCCCAGACCAUUGUCAACAACCCCCAGAUUUUUCCACUAUACCAACCUCAGAGCCAUGCAUCAACCUGAUAGAUCUCCCUAUUCCUAGAAAUAUUAUUCCUUGUUACCAGAACAAUCAAGGAAAUCACCUGUGUUCCUGAUCCCUGUACCAAUUGUCCCAAGGCUCUGAAGUCUCUUUUGUUUGCCCUCAGUUUUUGUUAUUUCAUCCAUGUCAGUUUGAACAACCAAUAAUGGCUAGUAAUCAGAGGGCCUCGCUAGGCUGGGGAGUUUUAAAGUAAUGUUCCUUGUCUGAGCCCUUGGGAGACUGCAGACUUCCCUGAGUUGGGUCUGGUCUGCAUACGGGGGCCUCUGCUUCCCUCAGGAAGCAGGUUCCUAUUACAAUUCCUCAUCUUUUCCUCUGGACUCCCUAAGUGCUAAUGUCUGUAUGAAUUUGAACUCAUGCUGUGCAUGAGAUCUGUGGGUGCCAAAACAGAUAUUAUUAUAGAUGUAUGCAUGCAAAUUUCAAUUCUUUUUUCCAUUCAUCCUUCUCUUCCCUGCCCCCCGCCCCCCAAUUAUUCUUCUAAAUUAUGUGAUUAUGUGCCUUUAAGACUGCCAAUUGCUCAGAUGAAGUAAAACUGCUAAACUAUCUUCAUGCUUUCAAAGUAGUUUUAAUGGACAUGUGAAAAUCCUUCUACGUUUUAAGUAGAGAAAUUACAGCUGUCUUGUGGCACUAGUAAGUUUUGUAACUUCCUUUCACAAUCUGUAUGAAUCUUUUGUAACAAAUAAAUAUAUGUAUUUCCUGUAAA